This 254-nucleotide ribosomal RNA is filed under the name uncultured bacterium. Its description in RNAcentral is "partial 16S ribosomal RNA". It matches the Rfam family "Bacterial small subunit ribosomal RNA", at positions 524 to 776 of the family's 1533-position model. The record is from RNAcentral.
GACGUAGGAUGCAAGCGUUGUUCGGAUUUAUUGGGCGUAAAGCGAGCGUAGGUGGCUAGAUAAGUCUGGUGUUUAAUCCCCGGGGCUCAACCCCCGGAUCGCACUGGAAACUGGGUGACUUGAGUACAGAAGAGGAGAGUGGAAUUCCACGUGUAGCGGUGAAAUGCGUAGAUAUGUGGAGGAACACCAGUGGCGAAGGCGACUCUCUGGGCUGUAACUGACGCUGAGGCGCGAAAGCGUGGGGAGCAAACAGG